This 67-nucleotide transfer RNA is filed under the name Pimpla luctuosa. Its description in RNAcentral is "tRNA-Ile". Lineage: Eukaryota; Metazoa; Arthropoda; Insecta; Hymenoptera; Ichneumonidae. The record is from RNAcentral.
AAUAAAGUGCCUGAUAAAAGGAUUAUUUUGAUAGAAUAAAUUAUGUAAAUUAAAUUUACCUUUAUUA